This 72-nucleotide transfer RNA is filed under the name Capra hircus (goat). It matches the Rfam family "tRNA". Rfam says of the family: Transfer RNA (tRNA) molecules are approximately 80 nucleotides in length. Their secondary structure includes four short double-helical elements and three loops (D, anti-codon, and T loops). Lineage: Eukaryota; Metazoa; Chordata; Mammalia; Artiodactyla; Bovidae. The record is from Rfam by way of RNAcentral. RNAcentral also lists the same sequence under 1 other name.
UCCCUGGUGGCUCAGAUGGUAAAGAAUCUGCUUGUAAUGCAGGAGUCCUAGGUUCAGUCCCUGGGUGGGGAA